GACGAACGCUGGCGGCGUGCUUAACACAUGCAAGUCGAACGGUGGAGCUCCAGCUUGCUGUGGUGGCUCAGUGGCGAACGGGUGAGUAACACGUGAGCAACCUGCCCCUGACUCUGGAAUAAGCGCUGGAAACGGCGUCUAAUACUGGAUACGAGAAGGGCCCGCAUGGGCACUUUCUGGAAACUUUUUCGGUUGGGGAUGGGCUCGCGGCCUAUCAGCUUGUUGGUGAGGUAAUGGCUCACCAAGGCGACGACGGGUAGCCGGCCUGAGAGGGCGACCGGCCACACUGGGACUGAGACACGGACCAGAGUGCUACGGGAGGCAGCAGUGGGGAAUAUUGCACAAUGGGCGAAAGCCUGAUGAAGCGACGCCGCGUGAGGGAUGACGGCCUUCGGGUUGUAAACCUCUUUCAGCAGGGAAGAAGCGAAAGUGACGGUACCUGCAGAAGAAGCACCGGCUAACUACGUG
This 468-nucleotide ribosomal RNA is filed under the name uncultured bacterium. RNAcentral describes it as "partial 16S ribosomal RNA". It matches the Rfam family "Bacterial small subunit ribosomal RNA", at positions 28 to 507 of the family's 1533-position model. The record is from RNAcentral.